This 280-nucleotide ribosomal RNA is filed under the name uncultured prokaryote. RNAcentral describes it as "partial 16S ribosomal RNA". It matches the Rfam family "Bacterial small subunit ribosomal RNA", at positions 355 to 627 of the family's 1533-position model. The record is from RNAcentral.
UGGGGAAUUUUGGACAAUGGGGGCAACCCUGAUCCAGCCAUGCCGCGUGAGUGAAGAAGGCCUUCGGGUUGUAAAGCUCUUUCGGCCGGGAAGAAAUCGCACAGGCCAAUACCCUGUGUGGAUGACGGUACCGGAAUAAGAAGCACCGGCUAACUACGUGCCAGCAGCCGCGGUAAUACGUAGGGUGCGAGCGUUAAUCGGAAUUACUGGGCGUAAAGCGUGCGCAGGCGGUUUUGUAAGACAGGCGUGAAAUCCCCGGGCUCAACCUGGGAACUGCGCU